GACGUAGGGCGCGAGCGUUGUCCGGAUUUAUUGGGCGUAAAGAGCUCGUAGGCGGCUUGUUGCGUCGACCGUGAAAACCCGGGGCUCAACUUCGGGCCUGCAGCGGGUACGGGCAGACUAGAGUGCGGUAGGGGAGACUGGAAUUCCUGGUGUAGCGGUGAAAUGCGCAGAUAUCAGGAGGAACACCGGUGGCGAAGGCGGGUCUCUGGGCCGUAACUGACGCUGAGGAGCGAAAGCGUGGGGAGCGAACAGG
This 253-nucleotide ribosomal RNA is filed under the name uncultured bacterium. RNAcentral describes it as "partial 16S ribosomal RNA". It matches the Rfam family "Bacterial small subunit ribosomal RNA", at positions 524 to 776 of the family's 1533-position model. The record is from RNAcentral.